RNAcentral lists this ribosomal RNA (461 nucleotides) under uncultured Anoxybacillus sp. Its description in RNAcentral is "bacterial SSU rRNA". It matches the Rfam family "Bacterial small subunit ribosomal RNA", at positions 921 to 1382 of the family's 1533-position model. The record is from RNAcentral. Lineage: Bacteria; Bacillati; Bacillota; Bacilli; Caryophanales; Anoxybacillaceae.
CCGCACAAGCGGUGGAGCAUGUGGUUAAUUCGAAGCAACGCGAAGAACCUUACCAGGUCUUGGCAUCCCCUGACAACCCGAGAGAUCGGGCGUUCCCCUUCGGGGGACAGGGUGACAGGUGGUGCAUGGUUGUCGUCAGCUCGUGUCGUGAGAUGUUGGGUUAAGUCCCGCAACGAGCGCAACCCUCGACCUUAGUUGCCAGCAUUCAGUUGGGCACUCUAAGGUGACUGCCGGCUAAAAGUCGGAGGAAGGUGGGGAUGACGUCAAAUCAUCAUGCCCCUUAUGACCUGGGCUACACACGUGCUACAAUGGGCGGUACAAAGGGUCGCGAACCCGCGAGGGGGAGCCAAUCCCAAAAAGCCGCUCUCAGUUCGGAUUGCAGGCUGCAACUCGCCUGCAUGAAGCCGGAAUCGCUAGUAAUCGCGGAUCAGCAUGCCGCGGUGAAUACGUUCCCGGGCCUU